CACGUAGGGCGCGAGCGUUGUCCGGAAUUAUUGGGCGUAAAGAGCUCGUAGGCGGCCUGUUGCGUCCGCUGUGAAAACCCGGAGCUCAACUCCGGGCCUGCAGUCGAUACGGGCAGACUGGAGUUCGGCAGGGGAGACUGGAAUUCCUGGUGUAGCGGUGAAAUGCGCAGAUAUCAGGAGGAACACCGGUGGCGAAGGCGGGUCUCUGGGCCGAUACUGACGCUGAGGAGCGAAAGCGUGGGGAGCGAACAGG
RNAcentral lists this ribosomal RNA (253 nucleotides) under uncultured bacterium. RNAcentral's name for it is "partial 16S ribosomal RNA". It matches the Rfam family "Bacterial small subunit ribosomal RNA", at positions 524 to 776 of the family's 1533-position model. The record is from RNAcentral.